RNAcentral lists this ribosomal RNA (460 nucleotides) under uncultured bacterium. RNAcentral's name for it is "partial 16S ribosomal RNA". It matches the Rfam family "Bacterial small subunit ribosomal RNA", at positions 338 to 795 of the family's 1533-position model. The record is from RNAcentral.
CCUACGGGAGGCAGCAGUGAGGAAUAUUGGUCAAUGGCCGUAAGGCUGAACCAGCCAAGUCGCGUGAAGGAAGAAGGAUCUAUGGUUUGUAAACUUCUUUUAUAGGGGAAUAAAGGUAUCCACGUGUGGAUAUUUGCAUGUACCCUAUGAAUAAGCAUCGGCUAACUCCGUGCCAGCAGCCGCGGUAAUACGGAGGAUGCGAGCGUUAUCCGGAUUUAUUGGGUUUAAAGGGUGCGUAGGUUGUUUUUUAAGUCAGCGGUGAAAGUUUGUGGCUCAACCAUAAAAUUGCCGUUGAAACUGGAAGACUUGAGUGUGUUAGAGGUACGCGGAAUGCGUGGUGUAGCGGUGAAAUGCAUAGAUAUCACGCAGAACUCCGAUUGCGAAGGCAGCUUACUAAGCCAUAACUGACACUGAAGCACGAAAGCGUGGGGAUCGAACAGGAUUAGAUACCCGGGUAGUC